Molecule: non-coding RNA, 732 nt
Organism: Camellia sinensis
Lineage: Eukaryota; Viridiplantae; Streptophyta; Magnoliopsida; Ericales; Theaceae
Source: RefSeq, a predicted model, not a curated record
UCGUCGAAGGAAAAUCACAUGUUGAUAGCCGUUGGAUCGCCUUUAGACCCUUCCAUCUCAUCCGAACCCUAAACCUAAAUCUAAACCCUAAACCCUUCCAGACCCUUCGUGUUUUCUCUCUCUCCAUCUCAGAUCCUUCUCCUCUCUCUCUCUCUGUGUUUUUCGGCCUCUCUGUCUCUGUUAGCUUCCAUCUCUGCUGUUCCAUCUUUAUCUCUACCGAUCGUCCCUGCCUCUCUCUUCCCUCUGUCUUAUCUCUCUCUAAACCCUAAAUUCUAAACACUUUGGAUCUCUAUCUUCGAUCCAUCUGAGAAACCCGAAACCCUUGAAAUCGACUCCUUCACAUCGUCUUUCUGAUGGAGAAGAUCAAGACGAAGCACAAACAAACCGUAAGACGAAGCAGAUGAAGCCGAAACUCCUAAACCACACACAAACCCUAAGACGAAGCUUGAGAUUGCUGAAAUCCAUCACGCAUCUUGAAAUCCAGUUGAACAGAGUAAAAGACAAUGAUAAAAAGGAGAUUCUAUAGGCAUGAACAUGGAGAUAGAAAUAGUGACUCUGAUUCUUCUUCAUCUUCUUCAGACUCUGAACUAGAGGCGGAAGCCGCUGAAGAAACAGAGGCAGAGGAUGAUGUUGCAGAAGUUAAAGAAUACCGCCAAUCUCACUCUUCUUUCUCUGGAUACAAGAGUGAGGAUAGCACCUCGGCAAAUGAAGUUGAUGUUGACUCAUCAGAGU